GCAUAUCAAUAAGCGGAGGAGAAAAAACUAACAAGGAUUCCCCUAGUAACGGCGAGUGAAGCGGGAUGAGCUCAAAUUUGAAAGCUGGCACUUGUGUCCGCAUUGUAAUCUCGAGAAGUAGUUUCUGUGUUGGGCCAUGUACAAGUUCCUUGGAAUAGGACAUCAGAGAGGGUGAGAAUCCCGUACUUGACAUGGAUUCCAAUGCUUUGUGAUCUGCUCUCUAUGAGUCGAGUUGUUUGGGAAUGCAGCUCAAAAUGGGUGGUAAAUUCCAUCUAAAGCUAAAUAUUGGGGAGAGACCGAUAGCGAACAAGUACCGUGAGGGAAAGAUGAAAAGCACUUUGGAAAGAGAGUUAAACAGUACGUGAAAUUGUCAAAAGGGAAGCGCUUGAGGUUAGCUAUGCAUGCAGUAUUCAACCUUUCUUUUGAUGGGUGUAUUUGCUGUUUUGCAGGCCAGCAUCGGUUUUGUCUGCUGGAUAAUGAUAGAAGGAAUGUGGCAUCCUCGGAUGUGUUAUAGCCUUCUAUUUGAUACAGUGGAUGGGACCGAGGACCGCAGUGUGCCGUAAGGCAGGCUCUUCGGAGUACUUUCACACUUAGGAUGCUGGCGUAAUGGCCUUAAGCGGCCCGUCUUGAAACACGGACCAAGGAGUCUAACAUAUUUGCGAGUCUUUGGGUGGCAAACCCAUAGGCGCAAUGAAAGUGAAUGCAGGUGGGAUCCCCUCGGGGUGCACCAUCGACCGAUCCAGAAUUUUUAGGAAGGAUUUGAGUACGAGCACAUAUGUUGGGACCCGAAAGAUGGUGAACUAUGCCUGAAUAGGGCGAAGCCAGAGGAAACUCUGGUGGAGGCUCGUAGCGAUUCUGACGUGCA
RNAcentral lists this ribosomal RNA (865 nucleotides) under Neovossia moliniae. RNAcentral describes it as "LSU rRNA". It matches the Rfam family "Eukaryotic large subunit ribosomal RNA", at positions 38 to 895 of the family's 3401-position model. The record is from RNAcentral. Lineage: Eukaryota; Fungi; Basidiomycota; Exobasidiomycetes; Tilletiales; Tilletiaceae.